This 468-nucleotide ribosomal RNA is filed under the name uncultured bacterium. RNAcentral's name for it is "partial 16S ribosomal RNA". It matches the Rfam family "Bacterial small subunit ribosomal RNA", at positions 28 to 507 of the family's 1533-position model. The record is from RNAcentral.
GACGAACGCUGGCGGCGUGCUUAACACAUGCAAGUCGAACGGAAAGGCCCUGCUUUUGUGGGGUGCUCGAGUGGCGAACGGGUGAGUAACACGUGAGUAACCUGCCCUUGACCUUGGGAUAACUUCAGGAAACUGGGGCUAAUACCGGAUAGGAGCUCCUGCUGCAUGGUGGGGGUUGGAAAGUUUCGGCGGUUGGGGAUGGACUCGCGGCUUAUCAGCUUGUUGGUGGGGUAGUGGCUUACCAAGGCUUUGACGGGUAGCCGGCCUGCGAGGGUGACCGGCCACAUUGGGACUGAGAUACGGCCCAGACGGCUACGGGAGGCAGCAGUGGGGAAUAUUGCACAAUGGGCGGAAGCCGGAUGCAGCAACGCCGCGUGCGGGAUGACGGCCUUCGGGUUGUAAACCGCUUUCGCCUGUGACGAAGCGUGAGUGACGGUAAUGGGUAAAGAAGCACCGGCUAACUACGUG